CUUGAAAGUUCCGCAUAGCAAAAUGCAGAAAGCGCUGCAGCUAUUCCAGCAAUCAGGAAGGAGAUGGCAAGGGCUGGUCCUGAAUGCUCUCUGGCAACAGUUCCAACAAGAAUAUAUACACCGGCUCCAAUAGUAGCACCAACUCCUAUUGAAAUAAGGUGAGGAAUCGAUAACUCUCUGGCUAACUGAUGAUGCCCUGAUGAUGAAGAUGAAGAUGAAG
This 220-nucleotide unclassified non-coding RNA is filed under the name Hevea brasiliensis (rubber tree). The record is from RNAcentral. Lineage: Eukaryota; Viridiplantae; Streptophyta; Magnoliopsida; Malpighiales; Euphorbiaceae.